GUUUAAUUUUCAUAAAAUUUAGAUAAAGUAUUUACUUUGACCCUAUGACAAAAAUAUAAAAAUUUCAAAAACAUUGAACCAACCAUUUUAUCUGAAAAAUUGUACUGGUUAUAUAGCAGUUUGACAGACACUAAUUUUGAUCAUUGAGAAGCUUAAUAUUCCCUUAACAACACAACGUAAUUUAAACGUUUAACUGAUUUUACAGAGUUAUCUCCCUG
RNAcentral lists this long non-coding RNA (218 nucleotides) under Mytilus galloprovincialis (Mediterranean mussel). Lineage: Eukaryota; Metazoa; Mollusca; Bivalvia; Mytilida; Mytilidae. The record is from RNAcentral.